GUUCGAUAGUGGUGCAUUCAUAAUUUUCAUGGAAAUUGAUUUCGUGAUCAUAUAAUAUUUUCUUCCUUCGUUACUUAAUUUUCUUGGUGGGUGUUGUGUUGGUGAACAACUUCAAAAUUUCCAUGGUUCCAUUUAAAUUAUCGAAAAUAUUUAUUUAUUUUUUGUUAAUAUUAUUAAGAAAAUUAAAAAAAAACUAUUUAUCAAUCACUCAAAUUAUAAAAUUGUAUAUAUAUGAGCUAGCAAAAACUAUGAAAAGUCCUCUCAACUUUAAAAGUUAAAAGCUAAAUUGACGAAUAAUAAUAUAUAAUUAAGGAGAAGUUAAAUUAAUCAAAUUAAAUUAUUUAUAAUAACUGCACCUCAUCUUAAUUAAUCAAUAUUUAAUUUUCAAAUUUAUAGAGUCUGUCCUCAUUGAACUUGGGCUUUGGAGUUUCCGUAGCCUAUUGUUGACCCAUCUCUGGUUGGGGGGCCAGUUCAGAGAGUUGAGAGA
This 487-nucleotide unclassified non-coding RNA is filed under the name Hevea brasiliensis (rubber tree). The record is from RNAcentral. Lineage: Eukaryota; Viridiplantae; Streptophyta; Magnoliopsida; Malpighiales; Euphorbiaceae.